Molecule: long non-coding RNA, 765 nt
Organism: Camellia sinensis
Lineage: Eukaryota; Viridiplantae; Streptophyta; Magnoliopsida; Ericales; Theaceae
Source: RefSeq, a predicted model, not a curated record
CUUCAUGUUUCUCUCUCUCCCUCUGUCUCUGCCUCUCCCUCUCCGCUGCUCCUUUCCCCCUCUCUAACCAUCGCUCCACCAGCCGAGCCUCCGCCUCUCCUCCUCGCCGUUGCGGGCAACCGAAGCACCGAUUCACCUAGAUUUGUCCUAUUUUCUCUCUCUAAACCUUAUAACCAAUCAUGAAAUUCAGAUCUACACGACACUACCCAUUUCAAAUCUUUCAUUGAACUAAGCUUCAAUAGCGAAUCUGGUGGUUUUGGUGGUGGUGAUUUUGGGUUUGAUCAAUGGUGGGUAUUGCCAAGAAACGGCCCAAGAAGUUCCAUGGAGAAUCCACACAUUGUUCUUCGUGGAGUGCCACAAAUACUUGUUCAGGAAUCCAAACAUCGAGCUGGUGAGAAAGGCUGUGGGAACAUAAAAGAAAUAGAGACAGUUUCUUGAUCUUUGUAUAGGACCAUGAAUGGAGGCAAGCCGUAACUGUAGUUGGUUCAGGAUGCAUUGCUGCUUUAUCAGUUGAGAGAUAUCUUACCAGCAACAAUCUCCUUGUUGAAUUUCACUAGCUUUCAACUUUGCUUCAGUAAUUGCUUUAAGGGUUGGACUGCAGUUGGCUUCAUCACUAAUUUUAUUUUAUUUUAUGGCUUUUACUGUUUUAUGUUUUUGGUGUUUUUGUUAGUUGGUUUCUUACCAAAUUAGCAAUUGGAUAUCAAUUUUGUUGAAUCCUCUAUUAUGUAUGGAACUAUAUUUUUGAGAUUGGAUUAUACUUGAUUU